Molecule: long non-coding RNA, 311 nt
Filed under: Carica papaya (papaya)
Lineage: Eukaryota; Viridiplantae; Streptophyta; Magnoliopsida; Brassicales; Caricaceae
Description: long non-coding RNA (CPAP_LNC004640)
Source: RNAcentral
UUAGUGUCCUAUUCCCAAGAGUAGACACAAACAAUACAUAAUCAAGUCUUUCAGGUAAUAUAUUCAAGUUUAGUAUAAAAGCAUGUGAGACAAAUGAAUGUGAGGCACCAGUAUCAAUCAAAACAUAUGCAAGAUAAUUACAAAUAGUGUACGUACCAUGUAUCACGUCUAGGUUGGCUUUUGCAUAUUGCGGAGUGAGGUUGUAAGCUCUACCCUAAAUAAGAGGUUUGGCCUGAUUCUGAUUCCUUGAGCACUCUCUCGCGUAAUGUUGGGCACUCCUACAUAUACGGCAGGUAUUGUUGAGGUGAUAG